Molecule: ribosomal RNA, 468 nt
Filed under: uncultured bacterium
Lineage: Bacteria
Description: partial 16S ribosomal RNA
Rfam family: Bacterial small subunit ribosomal RNA
Source: RNAcentral
GACGAACGCUGGCGGCGUGCUUAACACAUGCAAGUCGAACGGAAAGGCCCUGCUUUUGUGGGGUGCUCGAGUGGCGAACGGGUGAGUAACACGUGAGUAACCUGCCCUUGACUUUGGGAUAACUUCAGGAAACUGGGGCUAAUACCGGAUAGGAGCUCCUGCUGCAUGGUGGGGGUUGGAAAGUUUCGGCGGUUGGGGAUGGACUCGCGGCUUAUCAGCUUGUUGGUGGGGUAGUGGCUUACCAAGGCUUUGACGGGUAGCCGGCCUGAGAGGGUGACCGGCCACAUUGGGCCUGAGAUACGGCCCAGACUCCUACGGGAGGCAGCAGCGGGGAAUAUUGCACAAUGGGCGGAAGCCUGAUGCAGCAACGCCGCGUGCGGGAUGACGGCCUUCGGGUUGUAAACCGCUUUCGCCUGUGACGAAGCGUGAGUGACGGUAAUGGGUAAAGAAGCACCGGCUAACUACGUG